ACUUGGACCGAUACUGAAGCCGAAAUAUUAUUGCCGGCUAUACUGACGGUGCAGUUGGCUGUAUCACCUUACUGAGUCACUGACAUUUGUACUAAAGUCGCCUAUCGUCCCGGACGAAUUUUCUACGGUCAUCACGGUCCACACUGAUCGCUGCAAGGUGUCACUACUGAAUGAUCCCAAUACAUACUGACCGACUAA
RNAcentral lists this long non-coding RNA (198 nucleotides) under Amphibalanus amphitrite. RNAcentral's name for it is "uncharacterized LOC122370313". Lineage: Eukaryota; Metazoa; Arthropoda; Thecostraca; Balanomorpha; Balanidae. The record is from RNAcentral.